GAUACCAGGGUCAAAUAGACAAAACUCCGAUGCAAGCUUGCUUGUGAGAGGAGUUUUGACUACUUGACCCGCCCAAAACAUGAGAAAGUAGCCAUUUUUCGCAGAAAAAUGAGCGGAUUUCGAAUGCUUUGAGGCUUGUGAGAGUGCGUAAGCACGAAGCAAGCCGGU
RNAcentral lists this small RNA (168 nucleotides) under uncultured Blautia sp. RNAcentral describes it as "Clostridiales-1 RNA". It matches the Rfam family "Clostridiales-1 RNA". The record is from RNAcentral. Lineage: Bacteria; Bacillati; Bacillota; Clostridia; Lachnospirales; Lachnospiraceae.